CUAUACAUGCAAGUUGAGCGCUGAAGGUUGGUACUUGUACCGACUGGAUGAGCAGCGAACGGGUGAGUAACGCGUGGGGAAUCUGCCUUUGAGCGGGGGACAACAUUUGGAAACGAAUGCUAAUACCGCAUAAAAACUUUAAACACAAGUUUUAAGUUUGAAAGAUGCAAUUGCAUCACUCAAAGAUGAUCCCGCGUUGUAUUAGCUAGUUGGUGAGGUAAAGGCUCACCAAGGCGAUGAUACAUAGCCGACCUGAGAGGGUGAUCGGCCACAUUGGGACUGAGACACGGCCCAAACUCCUACGGGAGGCAGCAGUAGGGAAUCUUCGGCAAUGGACGAAAGUCUGACCGAGCAACGCCGCGUGAGUGAAGAAGGUUUUCGGAUCGUAAAACUCUGUUGGUAGAGAAGAACGUUGGUGAGAGUGGAAAGCUCAUCAAGUGACGGUAACUACCCAGAAAGGGACGGCUAACUACGUGCCAGCAGCCGCGGUAAUACG
This 496-nucleotide ribosomal RNA is filed under the name Lactococcus lactis subsp. lactis. RNAcentral's name for it is "bacterial SSU rRNA". It matches the Rfam family "Bacterial small subunit ribosomal RNA", at positions 49 to 527 of the family's 1533-position model. The record is from RNAcentral. Lineage: Bacteria; Bacillati; Bacillota; Bacilli; Lactobacillales; Streptococcaceae.